CUUAGCAUUUUAAAAAGUGCAUUGUAACAAAAAUAACAUGCUUCAUUAGAGGUUUUUAUUUCUUGUACGUUUCGAUAAUUACAUCUUUAAAGUGAUUUUGUGUUUGAAUUUCUUCUCAGAAUUUUACACCACCAAAGAAUAAUACGAAAGACACUUGAUGAUGUUUUGGCCUAUAAGACCAGCAAUACUGGUUCUUUAUUUUGCAAAUCUACCUCCAAUGCGAACAUCGAAUCUAAAAUUGUGCAAAGACGGAUACUUUGGUCAAAAUUGUUCGUUCCCCUGUCGGUAUCCAAAUUAUGGAGCGGAUUGUCAAAAAAGUUGUGUUUGCAACGAAACACUAUGCCAUCAUGUGUCCGGAUGCCCGGCUACACAUGCUACAGAUGAAGCUGAGCAAACAACAACAUUGCCGGUGAACGAUUCGAUAUUUCUGCAGAACGUAACCAAAAUGAAAAUUCUCUAUAUGUCAUUCAAUAUCAGAGGAAA
Molecule: long non-coding RNA, 483 nt
Organism: Saccostrea cuccullata (small rock oyster)
Lineage: Eukaryota; Metazoa; Mollusca; Bivalvia; Ostreida; Ostreidae
Exons: 3
Source: RefSeq, a predicted model, not a curated record